This 444-nucleotide ribosomal RNA is filed under the name uncultured bacterium. RNAcentral describes it as "bacterial SSU rRNA". It matches the Rfam family "Bacterial small subunit ribosomal RNA", at positions 29 to 506 of the family's 1533-position model. The record is from RNAcentral.
ACGAACGCUGGCGGCGUGCUUAACACAUGCAAGUCGAACGAGGGUCCGGCUUCGGCCGGAUUCCUAGUGGCGGACGGGUGAGUAACGCGUGGGAACCUGCCCAACAGUGGGGAAUAACAGCGGGAAACCGCUGCUAAUACCGCAUACGUCCUUCGGGAGAAAGGCUUCGGCCGCUGUUGGAUGGGCCCGCGUCCGAUUAGCUAGUUGGUGAGGUAACGGCUCACCAAGGCGACGAUCGGUAGCUGGUCUGAGAGGACGACCAGCCACACGGGGACUGAGACACGGCCCAGACUCCUACGGGAGGCAGCAGUGGGGAAUAUUGGACAAUGGGGGAAACCCUGAUCCAGCGACGCGGCGUGAGUGAAGAAGGCCUUAGGGUUGUAAAGCUCUUUCGCCGGGAAAGAUGAUGACGGUAGCCGGAGAAGAAGCCCCGGCUAACUCCGU